Molecule: ribosomal RNA, 449 nt
Filed under: uncultured bacterium
Lineage: Bacteria
Description: partial 16S ribosomal RNA
Rfam family: Bacterial small subunit ribosomal RNA
Source: RNAcentral
AACGAACGCUGGCGGCAUGCCUAACACAUGCAAGUCGAACGAGAUCUUCGGGUCUAGUGGCGCACGGGUGCGUGACGCGUGGGAAUCUGCCCCUUGGUUCGGAAUAACAGUUGGAAACGACUGCUAAUACCGGAUGAUGACGAAAGUCCAAAGAUUUAUCGCCAGAGGAUGAGCCCGCGUAGGAUUAGCUAGUUGGUGUGGUAAAGGCGCACCAAGGCGACGAUCCUUAGCUGGUCUGAGAGGAUGAUCAGCCACACUGGGACUGAGACACGGCCCAGACUCCUACGGGAGGCAGCAGUGGGGAAUAUUGGACAAUGGGCGAAAGCCUGAUCCAGCAAUGCCGCGUGAGUGAUGAAGGCCUUAGGGUUGUAAAGCUCUUUUACCCGGGAUGAUAAUGACAGUACCGGGAGAAUAAGCUCCGGCUAACUCCGUGCCAGCCGCCGCAGUAA